Molecule: non-coding RNA, 51 nt
Filed under: Vibrio phage 1.139.B._10N.261.48.C6
Lineage: Duplodnaviria; Heunggongvirae; Uroviricota; Caudoviricetes; Zobellviridae
Source: RNAcentral
UACCAGACACCCGAGCCUUACCAGACACCCAAGCCUUACCAGACACCCAAG